GAUGAACGCUGGCGGCGUGCCUAAUACAUGCAAGUCGAGCGAACAGAUGAGGAGCUUACUCCUCUGACGUUAGCGGCGGACGGGUGAGUAACACGUGGAUAACCUACCUAUAAGACUGGGAUAACUUCGGGAAACCGGAGCUAAUACCGGAUAAUAUAUUGAACCGCAUGGUUCAAUAGUGAAAGACGGUUUUGCUGUCACUUAUAGAUGGAUCCGCGCCGCAUUAGCUAGUUGGUAAGGUAACGGCUUACCAAGGCAACGAUGCGUAGCCGACCUGAGAGGGUGAUCGGCCACACUGGAACUGAGACACGGUCCAGACUCCUACGGGAGGCAGCAGUAGGGAAUCUUCCGCAAUGGGCGAAAGCUUGACGGAGCAACGCCGCGUGAGUGAUGAAGGUCUUCGGAUCGUAAAACUCUGUUAUUAGGGAAGAACAAAUGUGUAAGUAACUAUGCACGUCUUGACGGUACCUAAUCAGAAAGCCACGGCUAACUACGUG
This 497-nucleotide ribosomal RNA is filed under the name uncultured bacterium. RNAcentral describes it as "partial 16S ribosomal RNA". It matches the Rfam family "Bacterial small subunit ribosomal RNA", at positions 28 to 507 of the family's 1533-position model. The record is from RNAcentral.